This 433-nucleotide ribosomal RNA is filed under the name uncultured bacterium. RNAcentral's name for it is "partial 16S ribosomal RNA". It matches the Rfam family "Bacterial small subunit ribosomal RNA", at positions 29 to 507 of the family's 1533-position model. The record is from RNAcentral.
AACGAACGCUGGCGGCAGGCCUAACACAUGCAAGUCGAGCGAGGACUUCGGUCCUAGCGGCGGACGGGUGAGUAACGCGUGGGAACGUGCCCUUUGCUUCGGAAUAGCCCUGGGAAACUGGGAGUAAUACCGGAUGAGCCCUUUGGGGGAAAGAUGUAUCGGCGAAGGAUCGGCCCGCGUUGGAUUAGGUAGUUGGUGGGGUAAUGGCCUACCAAGCCGACGAUCCAUAGCUGGUUUGAGAGGAUGAUCAGCCGCACUGGGACUGAGACACGGCCCAGACUCCUACGGGAGGCAGCAGUAGGGAAUCUUAGGCAAUGGGGGAAACCCUGAUCUAGCCAUGCCGCGUGAGCGAUGAAGGCCUUAGGGUUGUAAAGCUCUUUCAGCUGGGAAGAUAAUGACGGUACCAGCAGAAGAAGCCCCGGCUAACUCCGUG